ACCAUCCCUGCUGCAGCCAGCCCCAGCUCCCGCUGAAGGUUCUGCUCUGCUCCCCGCUGCCGCUGCAGAACCUCCAUCUUCCUCCGCAGCUCAACGCCGCGCUCCGGCCAGGGCCACCAUCCCGCCUGCAGCACGUAGGCACUGUCACGGCACCGAGGCCACCCCAGUCCUGGGGGGUCAUGAAGGUGCCAGCAACCGCAGUGGACACGGGGGUGAUGCUGGUGCCAGCGACCGCCGUGGGCACAGGGGUGACGCUGG
This is a long non-coding RNA of Athene cunicularia (burrowing owl), 258 nucleotides long. RefSeq lists it as uncharacterized. NCBI's taxonomy places the organism in Eukaryota, Metazoa, Chordata, Aves, Strigiformes, Strigidae. The transcript has 3 exons. The record is from RefSeq and is a predicted model, not a curated record.